RNAcentral lists this long non-coding RNA (1875 nucleotides) under Nicotiana benthamiana. Its description in RNAcentral is "long non-coding RNA (NBEN_LNC035572)". Lineage: Eukaryota; Viridiplantae; Streptophyta; Magnoliopsida; Solanales; Solanaceae. The record is from RNAcentral.
UGAACUAUGUCAUUCAUCAAGGUAUAACAGUUGUGGCUCUGCAUCUUUGUUCUCUCCAUAUCUCCAAUAAGAGGCUCGAGCCAGACAUCCGCUCCACCGGUCUUCCUUAAUAGACUAUGAGUAGCAGGUACUUCAAGUGUAACCUUUCUCAUAUUCAUACCUCUUUUAUUUUGGCCAGAUUCAGAAUGAGGAACAGAGGAAGAAGGAAUAGUGGAAGGAGGAGUAGUAGAAGAAGUGAAAACAAUAGGAGCGGCAGAAACUAAAGCAGGAGCUGAAGGAAUAGGCACAGAGGCUAAAAAAUGAAUGGGAGAAGAAGUUGCGGCAGAAACCAAAGCAGGAGCUGAAGGAAUAGGCACGGGGGCUAAAAAGGAACGGGAGAAAAUGUUGUAAGAACAGUGGAAGAUGUCAAAGGGAAAGAAACAGGUACGGUUGAAGGAGAAAUCGAAGAAACUAGAGAAAAAGAAAUGGAAGUAGAUAAGGGAAUUUCAUUAAGACCGGGGCCAAGUUCCCCACUUUCAAAACCACUCUCGAAGAGACUAUGAAUAGAUUCACUCAUGUCUCUAGGUGCGAGAUCUUCAACGGAUUGGAUUAAAACGGGCUCGGUAAUGGAAGUAACUGCAGAAGAGGUACGAGCAGGAGAAUCUUCAGUUUCUUCAUCCAUAACAACACGUCUCCUAGCCCUUGGUCUAGAUACCAAAGAGGUAUUAUCUUCUUCUUCGUUCUCAGCUUCCAUUACCAUGGCUUUUCUUUUGGCUAAAAGUGCUUUAGCCUUGUCCAAACCAAGGGAGGUGUUGGCAGUAGUGCGCAUAGCCAAAGCGACAUCCGCUUAUUACCAUGGCUUUUCUUUUGGAUAAAAGUGCUUUAGCCUUGUCCAAACCAAGGGAGGUGUUGGCAGUAGCGCGCAUAGCUAAAGCGACAUCCGCUGCCAUCCCUUUUAUUCCAAAUCCUGAUAAAAAUGAAGGUUUGGAUUUAUUAUUCGAUAUUUGUACCUAGAAAAUAUACACGAAAAGAGAUAUAUACCAUGUGUUUUUACAAUCCAUCCAUGUAAGGAAGAAAUAGACUUCCAAGUCCUAUCUUCCUUAGAAGCAAUUUUCAGAAUUGAAUCUACCCAACCACGGAUGUUGGGAAUAGGUUCUACAGUAAGGAAGAAAUAGACUUCCAAGUCCUAUCUUCCUUAGAAGCAAUUUUCAGAAUUGAAUCUACCCAACCACGAAAGUUGGGAAUAGGUUCUACAUCCCCAAUGGUUGCUUCAAAAAACUAAAAAGGGAUAAGUUCAAAGAUAAAAUCAAAAUCUUGGAAAAUAAAUACAGGAAAGGUAAGUAAAAACUUACGUGCAAAAUUUCACUUCUCAGGGAAGGGAAUAUUUGAUUCUCCCAGCAAACCCACUGUACGAACAGCAAUGUAACGCAGAUACCACCCACGAUCCUUAUCGUCAUCGGCAUUUACCAAAACUCUCUUACUCCUUGCAGUUAAGGUAAAAUCCCCAUGGCGCAUUAAACUAGGGUGGUAUAAAUGGAUAAGAUGGGAAAAGGUAAAAUAGAUUUUUUGCCUUAGAAGACAAAAAUAUCAAACAAGCUACAGCCCUCCAAACUAAAGGUCCAAUCUCGGCUAAGCAAAUGUUGAAAAAAUUACAAAAAUCGAGGAUAACUGGAUCUAUGGCAGGUUUAAACCCCAAAGUGAAAGGUUGCAAUCUUUCCUAAUGGUGGGGAUUGUGAGUUCAGUUAUAAGAGAAGGAUAAUGAUUAGUCUUUUCCAAUUUUGCAAUUUGUUUUUGAAGGAAUAUUUUUUCACUUGCAAAAGAUAAAUCAUUUGGUAUAAUUUCUUCAACUGUGGGUUCUGUAGAAGGGUCUGAAAUUUCUUUACCUUUCAAAGAUUG